UACGUAGGGCGCAAGCGUUGUCCGGAAUUAUUGGGCGUAAAGAGUUCGUAGGCGGUCUGUCGCGUCCGUUGUGAAAGCCCAGGGCUCAACCCUGGGUCUGCAGUGGAUACGGGCAGACUAGAGUCAGGUAGGGGAGAACGGAAUUCCUGGUGUAGCGGUGAAAUGCGCAGAUAUCAAGUGGAACACCAGUGGCGAAGGCGAGUCCCUGGAAAACUCCUGACACUGAGGCACGAAAGCUAGGGGAGCAAACAGG
Molecule: ribosomal RNA, 253 nt
Filed under: uncultured bacterium
Lineage: Bacteria
Description: partial 16S ribosomal RNA
Rfam family: Bacterial small subunit ribosomal RNA
Source: RNAcentral